RNAcentral lists this ribosomal RNA (427 nucleotides) under uncultured prokaryote. Its description in RNAcentral is "bacterial SSU rRNA". It matches the Rfam family "Bacterial small subunit ribosomal RNA", at positions 355 to 774 of the family's 1533-position model. The record is from RNAcentral.
UGGGGAAUUUUGGACAAUGGGGGCAACCCUGAUCCAGCCAUGCCGCGUGCGUGAAGAAGGCCUUCGGGUUGUAAAGCUCUUUCGGCCGGGACGAAAUCGCACAGGCUAAUACCCUGUGUGGAUGACGGUACCGGAAUAAUAAGCACCGGCUAACUACGUGCCAGCAGCCGCGGUAAUACGUAGGGUGCGAGCGUUAAUCGGAAUUACUGGGCGUAAAGCGUGCGCAGGCGGUUGUGUAAGACAGGUGUGAAAUCCCCGGGCUCAACCUGGGAACUGCGUUUGUGACGGCAUAGCUAGAGUACGGCAGAGGGGGGUGGAAUUCCACGUGUAGCAGUGAAAUGCGUAGAGAUGUGGAGGAACACCGAUGGCGAAGGCAGCCCCCUGGGCCUAUACUGACGCUCAUGCACGAAAGCGUGGGUAGCAAACA